AGAAUCAACGCUGGCGGCGUGCCUAACACAUGCAAGUCGAACGAGAAAGGGUAGCAAUACCUGAGUAAAGUGGCGCACGGGUGAGUAACACGUGACUAACCUACCUUUUAGUGGGGGAUAACCUAGGGAAACCUGGGCUAAUACCGCAUAAUACCUACGGGUCAAAGCAGCAAUGCGCUGGGAGAGGGGGUCGCGGCCGAUUAGCUAGUUGGCGGGGUAAUGGCCCACCAAGGCAGUGAUCGGUA
RNAcentral lists this ribosomal RNA (245 nucleotides) under uncultured bacterium. RNAcentral describes it as "partial small subunit ribosomal RNA". It matches the Rfam family "Bacterial small subunit ribosomal RNA", at positions 26 to 285 of the family's 1533-position model. The record is from RNAcentral.